This 1643-nucleotide ribosomal RNA is filed under the name metagenome. Its description in RNAcentral is "bacterial LSU rRNA". It matches the Rfam family "Bacterial large subunit ribosomal RNA", at positions 1265 to 2925 of the family's 2925-position model. The record is from RNAcentral.
AAGGACAUGUGGACAGUAUACGAGUGAGAAUGUUGGCAUGAGUAGCGAGACGUGGGUGAGAAUCCCACGGGCCGUAAACCCAAGGUUUCCAGGGAAAGGUUCGUCCGCCCUGGGUUAGUCGGGACCUAAGCCGAGGCCGAAAGGCGUAGGUGAUGGACAACAGGUUGAUAUUCCUGUACCGCCGAUAGGCGUUUGAGAGAUGGAGUGACACAGUAGGAUAAGCUAACCGUACUGUUGGUUAUGUACGGCUAAGCAUUGAGGCAGUCUAAAUAGGCAAAUCCGUUUAGACAAUGCUAGGAUGUGAUGGGGAAGCCCUUCGGGGCGAAGUAGCUGAUUUCACACUGUCAAGAAAAGCUUCUAUCGAGUUUAAAGGCGCCCGUACCGUAAACCGACACAGGUGGGUGAGGAGAGUAUCCUAAGGCCAGCGAGAGAACUAUUGUUAAGGAACUCGGCAAAAUGACCCCGUAACUUAGGGAGAAGGGGUGCCUGUCUAUGACAGGCCGCAGAGAAUAGGCCCAAGCGACUGUUUACCAAAAACACAGGUUUCUGCUAAGUCGCAAGACGAUGUAUAGGAGCUGACGCCUGCCCGGUGCUGGAAGGUUAAGGGGAUCUGUUAGAGCAAUCGAAGCAGUGAACUUAAGCCCCAGUAAACGGCGGCCGUAACGAUAACGGUCCUAAGGUAGCGAAAUUCCUUGUCGGGUAAGUUCCGACCCGCACGAAAGGCGUAACGAUUUGGGCACUGUCUCAACAAUAGACUCGGUGAAAUUGUAAUCCCGGUGAAGAUGCCGGGUACCUGCGACAGGACGGAAAGACCCCAUGGAGCUUUACUGUAGCUUGACGUUGGGUCUUGGUACUACAUGUACAGGAUAGGUGGGAGACUAUGAAGCAUGGACGCCAGUCUGUGUGGAGUUAUCCUUGGGAUACCACCCUUGUAGUACUGGGAUCCUAACCAUAGGCCUUGAAUCAGGUCUUGGAACACCGUCAGGUGGGCAGUUUGACUGGGGCGGUCGCCUCCUAAAAAGUAACGGAGGCGCUCAAAGGUUUCCUCAGCACGGUCGGAAAUCGUGCGAAGAGUGUAAAGGCAAAAGGAAGCUUGAUUGCAAGACAUACAGGUCGAGCAAGGACGAAAGUCGGACUUAGUGAUCCGGUGGUACCGCAUGGAAGGGCCAUCGCUCAACGGAUAAAAGCUACCCUGGGGAUAACAGGCUUAUCUCCCCCAAGAGUCCACAUCGACGGGGAGGUUUGGCACCUGAUGUCGGCUCAUCACAUCCUGGGGCUGUAGUAGGUCCCAAGGGUUGGGCUGUUCGCCCAUUAAAGUGGUACGCGAGCUGGGUUCAGAACGUCGUGAGACAGUUCGGUCCCUAUCCGUCGCAGGCGUAGGAAAUUUGAGAAGACCUGUCCUUAGUACGAGAGGACCGGGAUGGACGUACCUCUGGUGUACCAGUUGUUCUGCCAAGGGCAUGGCUGGGUAGCUAUGUACGGAAUGGAUAAGCGCUGAAAGCAUCUAAGCGCGAAGCCAACUUCAAGAUAAGAUUUCCCACCGUAAGGGUAAGACCCCAGGAAGACUACCUGGUUGAUAGGUCGAAGGUGUAAGUGCAGUAAUGUAUUUAGCUUAUCGAUACUAAUAGGUCGAGGACUUGACC